Molecule: ribosomal RNA, 305 nt
Filed under: uncultured bacterium
Lineage: Bacteria
Description: bacterial SSU rRNA
Rfam family: Bacterial small subunit ribosomal RNA
Source: RNAcentral
CCCCACGGGAGGCAGCAGUGGGGAAUAUUGCACAAUGGGGGAAACCCUGAUGCAGCGACGCCGCGUGAGUGAAGAAGUAUCUCGGUACGUAAAGCUCUAUCAGCAGGGAAGAAAAAAAGUCUUUGGCUUUGGACGGUACCUGACUAAGAAGCCCCGGCUAACUACGUGCCAGCAGCCGCGGUAAUACGUAGGGGGUGAGCGUUAUCCGGAUUUACUGGGUGUAAAGGGAGCGUAGACGGUUCUGCAAGUCUGAAGUGAAAGCCCGUGGCUUAACCGCGGAACGGCUUUGGAAACUGUGGAACUGG